Molecule: ribosomal RNA, 206 nt
Filed under: uncultured bacterium
Lineage: Bacteria
Description: partial 16S ribosomal RNA
Rfam family: Bacterial small subunit ribosomal RNA
Source: RNAcentral
CGCGUAGGCGGACUAUUAAGUCAGGGGUGAAAUCCCGGGGCUCAACCCGGAACUGCCCUUGAUACUGGUAGUCUUGAGUUCGAGAGAGGUGAGUGGAAUUCCGAGUGUAGAGGUGAAAUUCGUAGAUAUUCGGAGGAACACCAGUGGCGAAGGCGGCUCACUGGCUCGAUACUGACGCUGAGGUGCGAAAGUGUGGGGAGCAAACA